CCUACGGGCGGCAGCAGUGGGGAAUAUUGCACAAUGGGGGAAACCCUGAUGCAGCGACGCCGCGUGAGUGAGGAAGUAUUUCGGUAUGUAAAGCUCUUUCAGCAGGGACGAAAAUGACGGUACCUGACUAAGAAUCCCCGGCUAACUACGUGCCAGCAGCCGCGGUAAUACGAAGGGGGCAAGCGUUAUCCGGAUUUAAUGGGUGUAAAGGGAGCGUAGACGGGAGUGUAAGUCUGAUGUGAAACUCCGGGGCCCAACCCCGGAACUGCAUUGGAAACUGUAUUUCUAGAGUGUUGGAGAGGCAGGUGGAAUUCGUGGUGGAGCGGUGAAAUGCGUAGAUAUCAGGAGGAACACCAGUGGCGAAGGCGGCUUGCUGGACGAUGACUGACGUUGAGGCUCGAAAGCGUGGGGAGCAAACAGGAUUAGAUACCCCAGUAGUC
This 440-nucleotide ribosomal RNA is filed under the name uncultured bacterium. RNAcentral's name for it is "partial 16S ribosomal RNA". It matches the Rfam family "Bacterial small subunit ribosomal RNA", at positions 338 to 795 of the family's 1533-position model. The record is from RNAcentral.